AAAGAUCUUAAAUUUUUUUAGGGUUAUUGAUUUUAUUAUGCAGUACCUUGUACCUAGUAGCCGACAUCAUCUCUAAUUCUCUACUUCCUCGGUUCCUCCACUCCCUCAUUCUUCUUCCUCUCUGUAUCAAUUUCUACUUCUCUUUCUCCUUCAAAUCUUAAUUUCUUAGAGAUCAAGACCAUUGAAAUUCAGACAAUCGACCACCACAUGCAACCAUAUUGCUAAUUGUCGGCCUCCACUACAAGAUUCACAAAGAAAUCUGAAUUUGUUCGUCUCAUACAACGGAGUCAAGUACAGGGUCUUGAAAUAUGUCAAGUACAGAAGGUAGCCCAAGUUCUGUGGGGACUCCCCUUGCUGAAGAUGAUAAUGAGGAAGGAUUUCUUGAGAAAGAGGAUAUGCCACAACCUAAACAAAAGAGAAAGGCUACAAAACAAAAUGUCAGACAUAUGGGAUCACUUCAUCAAAUACACUGAACAUGGGCAAGGAAUGUGUAAGCGCAAACAUUGUGGUAUGUCUUACAAAUGUGUACCUAAAGUUAAUGGCACAAGUACUUAUAGAUCACACUUGAAGAAAUGGUUCCUAAAGUCCAAACAACAAACAUACUGAUCCAAGGCCUAAGCAAACUCAAUUAUCUUUCUAAUCUCCUGUAAAUGAAGAUGGAGAGCUUGAGGGAAAUGUGAAAAAUUGGAUUUUUAAUUAUGAUAAGUGUAGAAAAGCACUAGCUUAUAUGAUAAUUGUAGAUGAGCUGCUAUUUAGAUUUGUUGAACGGCAAGGAUUUAAAUACUUUUGCUCAUAGUUGUCGAACACAUUUCAUGUGCCUUCAAGAUUUAUUGUUUCUAGGGAUCGUUAUGAGUUGUUUAUGGAUGAAAGAUUGAAACUGAAGACUUUUUUAAAGACCAAUUGUAGAAGGGUUUGUCUUACAACUAACACAUGGACUUCCUUGCAAAAAAUCAAUUAUAUGUGCCUAACUGCCCACUUUAUUGAUAAUGACUGGAAACUAAACAAAAGAAUAUUGAAUUUUUGUCAAAUAUCAAGUCAAAAAGGGGAAGCAAUUGGUAAGGCAAUUGAGAAAUGCUUGCUUUCAUGGGGUAUUGAAAAUGUCAUGACUAUUACUAUAAAUAAUGCAAGCUCUAAUGAUACAACUAUUCUUUAUUUGAAAAAAAGAAUAAACAAUUAGGGGACAAGUGUUUUGAGAGGAGAAUUUUUGCAUGUACGAUGAAUUGCUCACAUAAUGAAUUUGGUUGUGAAUGAUGUUUUAAAAAUGGUUUAUGAUUCUGUACAUCGUGUUCGAAAUGCAGUAAGGAUAAUUAGGUCAUCUUGCAAUAGAGUUGAAAGGUUUAAAAAAUGUGCCUUGGAAGAGAAAAUUUCAACUCAAAGUAUGUUGUGUCUUGAUGUUCCAACUCGAUGGAAUUCGACUUAUUUGAUAUUAGGCACUGCUGUGAAAUAUGUAAAUCCUUUUAAGAGAUAUGAUGAAGAAGACCCACAUUAUAAUGAUGAUUUAUGGGAUGUGGAUGGUUAUGGAAAGGGGUUAGGGAAACCUAUUUCAGAUGAUUGGGAUCAUGUUCAGAACCUGCUAAAAUUGUUGAAAGCUUUUUAUAAUUUGACUGUUUGUGUUUUUGGCUCAUUAUAUGUGACUUCCAAUGCUUAUUUCAUGAGGUUUCUGAUGUGGAUUGUCUUUUAAAGGAAUGUUGUGCUAGUUCAGAUGAUAAUUUUAAGAACAUGUCUAUGAAAAUGAAAGAAAAGUGUGAGAAAUAUUGGGGUGAUCAUAAAAGGCUAAAUGUAAUGUUGUUUAUCUCUGCAAUACUUGAUCCUCGUUACAAAUGGGAUUGUGUUGACUAUGGGAUUUGUCAAAUGUAUAAGAGUAAUGAAGCUUUAAAUGUAUGCAACAGUGUCAAGAAAGCCUUUAAGAAUAUGCAUGAUGAGUACAAGGGCUCACAAGUGACAACUAAUUCAACUAGUACUUUGAGUGGGGGUUCAACUUCUUGUGGAGUAGAUGGUGAGCCUAGUAUAGGAAAUAAGGGAAUAAUAAGGGCUAGAUACAAGAAACUUAAAGCUACAAAAGAUGAUGUGGAUGCCAAAACAGAGCUAAAAAGUAUUUAGAUGAUGAUACAGAGGAGGAUGUGGAUGAUUUUGAUAUUUUGAAGUGGUGGAAAACUCAUGGUGCACGAUAUCCUACUCUUUCUUUUAUAGCUCGUGAUGUAUUAGCUAUACCUGUUUCUACGGUUGCAUCUGAAAGUGCUUUUAGCACCGGAGGUAGAAUACUUAAUUCAUUUAGGAAUUCAUUAACUCCUAAAAUAGUAGAAGCUCUUGUUUGUGGUCAAGAUUGGCUUCGUGCAUCACCCCUUAAUGUUGAAGAGCCAACGGAGGAUAUUGAAAAAUUGGAAAGUGAUCUCUCUAAGAUUAGUUUAUCUCCACCCAUCAUUGAUAUAGCAUGAGGCUUAAAGCUCGUAUGUUAUUUCAUUGUUAGAGGUUGGUGUAUGCUAUAUGGUGGCUUAAGUGAAAAGAACCAAUGUACGAUCAUCUUGGAUUACUGAAAAUAAUUGUAUUGUAAUUCAAGACAUCAGACAUUAUGUUGAUGUAGGAUGCAAGUGUUUUAUGUUGUGUUUUAGAUAUUAAACAUUAUUAGUUUAUUUUGAUGUUGGAUGUAAGUAGGAAUUUUGAUUUUACUAGAAUUGUUAAUCACUUUUGAAGGUGGACAA
Chenopodium quinoa (quinoa) is the source of this 2699-nucleotide long non-coding RNA. RefSeq lists it as uncharacterized. NCBI's taxonomy places the organism in Eukaryota, Viridiplantae, Streptophyta, Magnoliopsida, Caryophyllales, Amaranthaceae. The record is from RefSeq and is a predicted model, not a curated record. The transcript has 5 exons.